UGUCAUCUCUUCAGUUAGACUGGUGGUC
This 28-nucleotide non-coding RNA is filed under the name Rattus norvegicus (Norway rat). The record is from RNAcentral. Lineage: Eukaryota; Metazoa; Chordata; Mammalia; Rodentia; Muridae.